This 464-nucleotide ribosomal RNA is filed under the name uncultured Delftia sp. RNAcentral describes it as "bacterial SSU rRNA". It matches the Rfam family "Bacterial small subunit ribosomal RNA", at positions 60 to 520 of the family's 1533-position model. The record is from RNAcentral. Lineage: Bacteria; Pseudomonadati; Pseudomonadota; Betaproteobacteria; Burkholderiales; Comamonadaceae.
UGUCAACGGUAACAGCGUCUUCGCGACGCUGACGAGUGGCGAACGGGUGAGUAAUACAUCGGAACGUGCCCAGUCGUGGGGGAUAACUACUCGAAAGAGUAGCUAAUACCGCAUACGAUCUGAGGAUGAAAGCGGGGGACCUUCGGGCCUCGCGCGAUUGGAGCGGCCGAUGGCAGAUUAGGUAGUUGGUGGGAUAAAAGCUUACCAAGCCGACGAUCUGUAGCUGGUCUGAGAGGACGACCAGCCACACUGGGACUGAGACACGGCCCAGACUCCUACGGGAGGCAGCAGUGGGGAAUUUUGGACAAUGGGCGAAAGCCUGAUCCAGCAAUGCCGCGUGCAGGAUGAAGGCCUUCGGGUUGUAAACUGCUUUUGUACGGAACGAAAAAGCUUCUCCUAAUACGAGAGGCCCAUGACGGUACCGUAAGAAUAAGCACCGGCUAACUACGUGCCAGCAGCCGGGG